Molecule: ribosomal RNA, 441 nt
Filed under: uncultured bacterium
Lineage: Bacteria
Description: partial 16S ribosomal RNA
Rfam family: Bacterial small subunit ribosomal RNA
Source: RNAcentral
CCUACGGGAGGCAGCAGUGGGGAAUAUUGCACAAUGGGGGAAACCCUGAUGCAGCGACGCCGCGUGAGUGAAGAAGUAUUUCGGUAUGUAAAGCUCUAUCAGCAGGGAAGAAGAAAGACGGUACCUGACUAAGAAGCCCCGGCUAACUACGUGCCAGCAGCCGCGGUACUACGUAGGGGGCAAGCGUUAUCCGGAUUUACUGGGUGUAAAGGGAGCGUAGACGGCUGUGCAAGUCUGAAGUGAAAGCCCAGGGCUCAACCCUGGGACUGCUUUGGAAACUGUGGAGCUAGAGUGCUGGAGAGGUAAGUGGAAUGCCUAGUGUAGCGGUGAAAUGCGUAGAGAUUAGGAGGAACACCAGUGGCGAAGGCGGCUUACUGGACAGUAACUGACGUUGAGGCUCGAAAGCGUGGGGAGCAAACAGGAUUAGAUACCCUAGUAGUC